Molecule: ribosomal RNA, 303 nt
Filed under: uncultured bacterium
Lineage: Bacteria
Description: partial 16S ribosomal RNA
Rfam family: Bacterial small subunit ribosomal RNA
Source: RNAcentral
AGCAGCCGCCGCGGGAAAACGUAGGGUGCAAGCGUUAAUCGGAAUUACUGGGCGUAAAGCGUGCGCAGGCGGUUAUAUAAGACAGAUGUGAAAUCCCCGGGCUCAACCUGGGAACUGCAUUUGUGACUGUAUAGCUAGAGUACGGCAGAGGGGGAUGGAAUUCCGCGUGUAGCAGUGAAAUGCGUAGAUAUGCGGAGGAACACCGAUGGCGAAGGCAAUCCCCUGGGCCUGUACUGACGCUCAUGCACGAAAGCGUGGGGAGCAAACAGGAUUAGAUACCCCAGUAGUCCCUGUCUCUUAUAA